This 205-nucleotide unclassified non-coding RNA is filed under the name Hevea brasiliensis (rubber tree). Lineage: Eukaryota; Viridiplantae; Streptophyta; Magnoliopsida; Malpighiales; Euphorbiaceae. The record is from RNAcentral.
CUAUACCCGGAAUGGAUUGAUGAGGAAGAAGAAUCAGAAGUGCCUGCUUGUCCUUCUCUUUCCGAGCCUGGGGUCCCUAGUGGAUCGCACUUUGACCUUAUUGCAGUCAAGCUACCUUGUAAUAAGUCAGGAGAGUGGACACGUGAUGUUGCACGGUUGCAUUUGCAGCUCUCAGCAGCCAAGAUCGCUGCAGCAUCUGUGGAAG